This is a long non-coding RNA of Hemiscyllium ocellatum (epaulette shark), 377 nucleotides long. RefSeq lists it as uncharacterized. The record is from RefSeq and is a predicted model, not a curated record. The transcript has 3 exons. NCBI's taxonomy places the organism in Eukaryota, Metazoa, Chordata, Chondrichthyes, Orectolobiformes, Hemiscylliidae.
GGACACAGAGAGAGACACGGAGCUGCUUUCUCCGGCAGCGGCUGCGAUCGGCUUCAGAGAGCGGCGCUCAGAGCCGGUGUGUGGGAGCCUCGCUGGGAGAAAGGAGCGGAGAGAAUUCAACAGUCCAGGAAAAAGGUACUGAAGGAGUUCCUGAUUCAGUAGACUUGCCAACUGCUGGUUGCGAAGAUGAUUGGUCAGUCAGAGAGACAAAGGUCAGGGAGUUCAAGAUCCUUCGAUCAAUCCUGUCACCAGCUACUCCAGAUCCUGAGCCAACAGAAUCCUCCUCUCCAGAGAGAUGAAGCAGGACAGGCCAGGGAUGGAGACUAGGAUUUUCCAGGUCAGUAUGGCAGUUAUUACCAUUCUGCAUGUGUUUCCUU